This is a long non-coding RNA of Chenopodium quinoa (quinoa), 1480 nucleotides long. RefSeq lists it as uncharacterized. The record is from RefSeq and is a predicted model, not a curated record. Lineage: Eukaryota; Viridiplantae; Streptophyta; Magnoliopsida; Caryophyllales; Amaranthaceae. The transcript has 3 exons.
UAUAUAUUAGAGCUUGAAGAAGUCAUCACAAAAAAGGAGCAAGAAAGAUGUCAUGCCAAGGUAAGCUAGUGUGGCCGGAACUAGUUGGCGAAGAUGGAAAAAAGGCAGCAGAAAUAAUCGAGAAAGAAAACCCCUCGGUGAAGGCCGUUGUACUAGAUGAAGAUUCUGAUAUACCAUUUGACCUGAGAUGUGAUCGUGUUUUUGUUUUUGUUGAUUCAAACAACAUUGUCGUUGAUAUUCCUUCUGUUGGCUAAGCUAAAUUAUGAUGUGCAACUUUAGUAUGUAGAUCGAUAUGAUGUGCAACUUAAUUAUGAAAAUCUCGUACUACUAAAUAAAGGUGCACAUUAUUAUUAGUAUUGUAUUAGUACUUGGUAGUGAUUAUUGAAUGGUACUUACUUGGUAUCAUAGACACUGUUUUAUGUUUCUUAUCGAUUAGUACACUUUUAAUCCUUCAAUCUAUGUUACUAAGACUUGGCUAAUUAAAAGUGUUAGGCACGAUCCUUUAAUGAAAUUUUUGUUUAACUUUGGCCCGUAUAAAUUAUAAAGUGUUUAACUGGCUUCUUUUGGAGAAAGGUAUAGAAAUCAGCAUUUAUAUAGCUCAAAUUCGGCCAGAUUUAAAAGUGGAGUAUUAGAUGUAUGGUUUACAUAAUACUCUGUAAUGUUUAGAUUUAUUUUAGAGCAUUAGAGCAUAAUAGAUGGUGCAAAACAUGUACAUACAGAGUAUCAUUGCUUCUAAUUCAAUCUUUUUGCAAUCUGCGAUGAUUUUACCCAAUGAUGCAUUGUUGAUUCCAAUGAAAUUGUAGUCCAAACUCCCGUAUUGUUACAUAAGCUACUAAGACAAUGUCCAAGCUUAGUAAAUGUGCACUAAGAAAGCAUUUACUACUCAUACCUGGCCUACUUCAUUUCCUAAUAAUUCACGCCCCUUAAAUAAUAAUGUUAGCAGAAAGGUUAAUAUAUUUUAAUUUCCAACUGUAAUAGUUCCUUACUUCCUUCUAUAGUAUAAACACACAUCUAGUGCUUUUUGAUUUGCACUAUCAAAGCUUGAAGAAGCCAUCACAUAAAAAACGAGAGCAAUAAAGAUGUCAUGCCCAGGCAAGCAAGAGUGGCCGGAACUCCUCGGCGAAGAUGGAAAAAAGGCAGCAGAAACAAUCGAGAAUGAAAGCCAUUGUACUAAAUGAAGAUUCAGAAAUACCGUUUGAUCUGAGAUGAGAUCGUGUUUUUGUUUUUGUUGAUUCAAACAACAUUGUCGCUUAUGUUCCCUCGGUUGGCUAGCUAGGCUACGAAUUAAUGCAUACAAUAUUGCUACGUGCAUGCAAGUGCAAUAUAAUAAAGUACGUAGAUCAAUGUGUAUGUGCUUCAAUUAAGGCAACCUCGUGCUACAUACUAAAUAAAUGUGCACAUUCAAUUAGUAUUCUACUUCGUAUUAGCACUUGAUAAGUUGGUAGUGAUUAUUAAUGGUGAUCGGUAUCGUCUUUUGUUA